AACGAACGUUGGCGGCGUGCUUAACACAUGCAAGUCGAGCGAGAACCGGCCUUCGGGCCUUAGUACAGCGGCGCACGGGUGAGUAACACGUGAGUAACCUGCCCCGGAGUUCGGGAUAACCAUUCGAAAGGAUGGCUAAUACCGAAUAAGCCCACAUCUGAUGUGGGAAAAGCCUUGUGUGCUCCGGAAUGGGCUCGCGGCCCAUUAGGUAGUUGGUGGGGUAAAGGCCUACCAAGCCGAAGAUGGGUAGCUGGUCUGAGAGGAUGAUCAGCCACACUGGAACUGAGACACGGUCCAG
Molecule: ribosomal RNA, 298 nt
Filed under: uncultured bacterium
Lineage: Bacteria
Description: partial 16S ribosomal RNA
Rfam family: Bacterial small subunit ribosomal RNA
Source: RNAcentral